This 253-nucleotide ribosomal RNA is filed under the name uncultured bacterium. Its description in RNAcentral is "partial 16S ribosomal RNA". It matches the Rfam family "Bacterial small subunit ribosomal RNA", at positions 524 to 776 of the family's 1533-position model. The record is from RNAcentral.
UACGAAGGGGGCUAGCGUUGUUCGGAAUCACUGGGCGUAAAGCGCACGUAGGCGGAUUGUUAAGUCGGGGGUGAAAUCCUGAGGCUCAACCUCAGAACUGCCUUCGAUACUGGCAAUCUCGAGUCCGGAAGAGGUUGGUGGAACAGCUAGUGUAGAGGUGAAAUUCGUAGAUAUUAGCUAGAACACCAGUGGCGAAGGCGGCCAACUGGUCCGGCACUGACGCUGAGGUGCGAAAGCUAGGGUAGCAAACGGG